This 381-nucleotide ribosomal RNA is filed under the name Triticum aestivum (bread wheat). Its description in RNAcentral is "partial small subunit ribosomal RNA". The record is from RNAcentral. Lineage: Eukaryota; Viridiplantae; Streptophyta; Magnoliopsida; Poales; Poaceae.
AUGGGAGUAGGACAUGCAAAUGGUUCUGCUGGAGUACGAAUGAGAGAGGCAAAAAUUCCUACCAAUGUUCAAUGGGUGGGUUUACCCAAUACACAUAAAUUUAACGAGGAGGCACUAAGGCGGGCUAUGGCAGCAGAUGGUGUGGUUACAGACAUCAAAGUUUUUCCAGAAAGGCGGUAUGCUUUUGUGGAGUUUGCAACCAUUAAAGGAGCUUCUAGAUGGGCGUCUUUUCAACAAUACAAGGAUUCAUGUUCUUUUCUCCUAACACCUCUUGUUGGGUUCCCUAGAUCAGAGAUGUAUAAUGAUAGUCCACAUGCCGCAUGUGAUUAUUUUGGUCCUGGUCGCAGUAGUCGUGUCACAUCUAAAGGGUAUGAUCCUUGA